Molecule: ribosomal RNA, 253 nt
Filed under: uncultured bacterium
Lineage: Bacteria
Description: partial 16S ribosomal RNA
Rfam family: Bacterial small subunit ribosomal RNA
Source: RNAcentral
UACAGAGGUCUCAAGCGUUGUUCGGAUUCAUUGGGCGUAAAGGGUGCGUAGGCGGCGCGGUAAGUCGGGUGUGAAAUCUCGGAGCUUAACUCCGAAACUGCAUCCCAAACUGCCUAGCUUGAGUAUGGGAGAGGAUGAGGGAAUUCCUGGUGUAGCGGUGAAAUGCGUAGAUAUCAGGAGGAACACCGGUGGCGAAAGCGCUCAUCUGGCCCAAUACUGACGCUGCAGCGCGAAAGCUAGGGGAGCAAACGGG